ACGUUAAAACACCUGUUCCCGUACGAUCACUGAAGUUAAACAACGUCGAUCCUGAUCAGUUCCUAGAUGGGUGAUAGUUUGGGAAUACCAGGUGCU
Acanthosepion pharaonis is the source of this 96-nucleotide non-coding RNA. The record is from the annotation of a GenBank genome assembly. Lineage: Eukaryota; Metazoa; Mollusca; Cephalopoda; Sepiida; Sepiidae.